RNAcentral lists this ribosomal RNA (253 nucleotides) under uncultured bacterium. RNAcentral's name for it is "partial 16S ribosomal RNA". It matches the Rfam family "Bacterial small subunit ribosomal RNA", at positions 524 to 776 of the family's 1533-position model. The record is from RNAcentral.
UACGGAGGGCGCAAGCGUUGUUCGGAAUUACUGGGCGUAAAGCGCAUGUAGGCGGCCUGGAAAGUCGGGUGUGAAAUCCCGGAGCUCAACUCCGGAACUGCAUCCGAUACUGCCAGGCUCGAGUCUCGGAGAGGAUGGCGGAAUUUCCGGUGUAGAGGUGAAAUUCGUAGAUAUCGGAAGGAACACCAGUGGCGAAGGCGGCCGUCUGGACGAUGAUUGACGCCGAGAUGCGAAAGCGUGGGGAGCAAACAGG